AUCCCAUGGUGAGGGCAUUCUGAUAUGUAAUCUUGAAAGUGUUCCCAUGUCUCAGGGGCAGAUUCAUUAUACUGCUGCUGAAAAGUUGAGAUCUUCAUACGUAGGGC
Molecule: small nucleolar RNA, 107 nt
Filed under: Sorghum bicolor (sorghum)
Lineage: Eukaryota; Viridiplantae; Streptophyta; Magnoliopsida; Poales; Poaceae
Description: Plant small nucleolar RNA R71
Rfam family: Plant small nucleolar RNA R71
About the family: R71 is a member of the C/D box family of snoRNAs containing the C (UGAUGA) and D (CUGA) box motifs. Multiple nearly identical copies of this snoRNA have been identified in Arabidopsis, and it is thought to function as a 2'-O-ribose methylation guide for 18S ribosomal RNA.
Source: Rfam by way of RNAcentral